UACGAAGGGGGCUAGCGUUGCUCGGAAUCACUGGGCGUAAAGCGCACGUAGGCGGACUCUUAAGUCGGGGGUGAAAGCCCAGGGCUCAACCCUGGAACUGCCUUCGAUACUGGGAGUCUUGAGUAUGGUAGAGGUUGGUGGAACUGCGAGUGUAGAGGUGAAAUUCGUAGAUAUCGGGAGGAACACCAGUGGCGAAGGCGGCGAUCUGGGAAGAUACUGACGCUGAGGUGCGAAAGCGUGGGGAGCAAACAGG
RNAcentral lists this ribosomal RNA (253 nucleotides) under uncultured bacterium. Its description in RNAcentral is "partial 16S ribosomal RNA". It matches the Rfam family "Bacterial small subunit ribosomal RNA", at positions 524 to 776 of the family's 1533-position model. The record is from RNAcentral.